GAUCAUGGCUCAGGAUGAACGCUAGCUACAGGCUUAACACAUGCAAGUCGGAGGGGAAACGACAUCGAAAGCUUGCUUUUGAUGGGCGUCGACCGGCGCACGGGUGAGUAACGCGUAUCCAACCUGCCCACCACUUGGGGAUAACCUUGCGAAAGUAAGACUAAUACCCAAUGAUAUCUCUAGAAGACAUCUGUAAAGAGAUUAAAAGAUUUAUCGGUGAUGGAUGGGGAUGCGU
RNAcentral lists this ribosomal RNA (235 nucleotides) under uncultured bacterium. Its description in RNAcentral is "partial 16S ribosomal RNA". It matches the Rfam family "Bacterial small subunit ribosomal RNA", at positions 15 to 236 of the family's 1533-position model. The record is from RNAcentral.